UGGGGGAUAUUGCACAAUGGGCGAAAGCCUGAUGCAGCGACGCCGCGUGGGGGAUGAAGGCCUUCGGGUUGUAAACUUCUUUUGCUCUGAACAAGGCGCACCAUGGGGUGUGUUGAGUGUAGGGGUUGAUUAGCGCCGGCUAACUACGUGCCAGCAGCCGCGGUAAUACGUAGGGCGCGAGCGUUGUCCGGAAUUAUUGGGCGUAAAGGGCUUGUAGGUGGCUGGUUGCGUCUGUCGUGAAAGCUCAUGGCUUAACUGUGGGUUUGCGGUGGGUACGGGCUGGCUUGAGUGCAGUAGGGAGGCUGGAAUUCCUGGUGUAGCGGUGGAAUGCGCAGAUAUCAGGAGGAAUACCGGUGGCGAAGGCGGGUCUCUGGGCUGUUACUGACACUGAGGAGCGAAAGCAUGGGGAGCGAACAGG
Molecule: ribosomal RNA, 418 nt
Filed under: bacterium
Lineage: Bacteria
Description: partial 16S ribosomal RNA
Rfam family: Bacterial small subunit ribosomal RNA
Source: RNAcentral